RNAcentral lists this ribosomal RNA (1325 nucleotides) under metagenome. RNAcentral's name for it is "bacterial LSU rRNA". It matches the Rfam family "Bacterial large subunit ribosomal RNA", at positions 1561 to 2925 of the family's 2925-position model. The record is from RNAcentral.
AGUGGAUGGGGAGCAACCUAGUUGUGCGUGUGUAAAGGUAGUGCCAAGAAAAGCGGUGAUCAUGAUGAAAAUCAAUUCCCGGUACCCGAAACCGACACAGGUGGGCAAGUAGAGAAUACUAAGGGGCGCGAGGUAACUCUCUCCAAGGAACUCGGCAAAAUGACCCCGUAACUUAGGGAGAAGGGGUGCCACCGAGAGGUGGUCGCAGUGAAGAGGCCCAGGCGACUGUUUAGCAAAAACAUAGGUCUCUGCAAACUCGAAAGAGGAGGUAUAGGGGCUGACGCCUGCCCAGUGCCGGAAGGUUAAAGAAGUUGGUCAGUCUUAGGAUAAAGCUAGCGACUGAAGCCCCGGUGAACGGCGGCCGUAACUAUAACGGUCCUAAGGUAGCGAAAUUCCUUGUCGGGUAAGUUCCGACCCGCACGAAAGGCGUAACGAUCUGGGCGCUGUCUCGGAGAGAGGCUCGGCGAAAUAGGAUUGUCUGUGAAGAUACGGACUACCUGCAUUUGGACAGAAAGACCCUAUGAAGCUUUACUAUAGCUUGGAAUUGUGUUCGGGCUUCCUGUGCGCAGGAUAGGUGGGAGGCGUAGAAGGUAUUCUUGUGGGGAUACUGGAGCCAACGGUGAGAUACCACUCUCAGGAGGCUAGAAUUCUAACUUAAUUAAGGACAGUUUCAGGUGGGUAGUUUGACUGGGGCGGUCGCCUCCAAAAAGGUAACGGAGGCGUACAAAGGUUCCCUCAGACUGGUUGGAAAUCAGUCGCAGAGUGCAAAGGCAGAAGGGAGCUUGACUGCGAGAAGUACAGUUCGAGCAGGGUGGAAACACGGUCUUAGUGAUCCGACGGUGCUGUGUGGAAGGGCCGUCGCUCAACGGAUAAAAGUUACUCUAGGAUAACAGGCUGAUCUCCCCCAAGAGUUCACAUCGACGGGGAGGUUUGGCACCUCGAUGUCGGCUCAUCGCAACCUGGGGCGGAAGUACGUCCCAAGGGUUGGGCUGUUCGCCCAUUAAAGCGGUACGUGAGCUGGGUUCAGAACGUCGUGAGACAGUUCGGUCCAUAUCCGAUGUAGGCGUGAGAAUAUUGAGAGGAGCCUUCCUUAGUACGAGAGGACCGGGAAGGACGCACCGCUGGUGUACCUGUUAUGAUGCCAAUUGUAAACGCAGGGUAGCCAAGUGCGGAGAGGAUAACCGCUGAAAGCAUCUAAGUGGGAAGCCCACCUCAAGAUGAGUAUUCUGGUGUAAGGUCACGGGAAGACGACCCGUAAAUAGGCACGAGGUGGAAGUGCAGAGAUGUAUGAAGCCGAAGUGUACUAAUAGACCGUCGGCUUGACC